This is a long non-coding RNA of Zonotrichia albicollis (white-throated sparrow), 2080 nucleotides long. RefSeq lists it as uncharacterized. NCBI's taxonomy places the organism in Eukaryota, Metazoa, Chordata, Aves, Passeriformes, Passerellidae. The record is from RefSeq and is a predicted model, not a curated record.
GCAAGCUGUGGCUUUAAAAAAACCCACCCAGUAGUGAUUUGAGGUUUUCUUCUUGAAGCCUUCCUGACUUUGAACAUAAAUUGCAUCUGUUUUGGUAAGCAGGCUACCAGCAAGCCAGACCUGUUCCUGGGAUUACUGUGACCACAGCUACUUCUGCCCUCCUGGCUGUUUGUGGCAGCCAGAGAGCACCUGAUUCUUGUAUCCCAGACCUUAAACCACAGCCUGGCAGCCUCCAAGGGAUCCUCCCUGCUUGGGGUGCUGUUUGUGGGACUGCUGGUGGCUCUGGAUCCCAAGGGGCGUUCCCAUCCCAUCACCACCGGCUGCCAGCAUCGGGAUCACGGCCACCCAGGGAGUUGGACAUCACGGAGCUGGACACACACCAGGGAGCCGACUCGCUUCUGACACCGAGCUCAGUCUCCAAACAUAAAAGAAGAGAAAGUCAGGACAGAAAAGCAUUGGAGCUUUCUUCUUCCUCCACACCUGCUGUUCCUGGUCGUCAGGCACUUCCAAAGAGGAGAGUUCUCCAAGUUCCCAGUCAUUACCCUUUACAUAAGCAUAAUAUAGUGCUGCACUUCCUACAGGGAAGCUAUCUAUUGUAGCAAUCUGUAAAACAAAAGCUGGAUUGCUCCUUCUCCCAUUGCUCCCAGAAUCAAAAAGCUGCCUGCUGUUCCUCAAAUGGGAAGGCUGAAAGCCUUCAUCAGAGGGUAGUUCAUUUUUACACGACAUUUUUACACUCAAGCAAAACUGAAAGCAAGGCAUAAUUUGAAACAGCCAUGCUCGCCGUUAGAGCAGAACCACACAAAUAAAAUGCCUGGGAUGAUGGAGUUGAAUAUGUUGCAGUCAGAAAAAUGACAGCUUGCAGGGAACGAGGAAAACUAGAUGGAUGAAUGGGAAUUAGUGAGGAGCAGACUUCCAAGGCAGACAAAUCAAAUUGAGAGCGUGGAUCAUUAGAUUCAAAGGAAGCAGGUAAGGAGUGCACUAAAUUGUACCUUAAACAACAAACCGUGGGCCCCAGCCUCCAGGGAGAGGGGAUGGAACAGGGCUGGGGAUAUGGGAGUGGCUCCCAGGUGUGUCCUGGCCACUGGCAUUGUGACCUCACCCAGGUCACUGUGUCCUUCACAUCAGCUCCUGUGCUGUGGGGCAUGGCAGGCACUGGACAUAGAGGAUGCUUUGAAGAUCUGCAGAUGUGCCCAGCUCCAGAGGAGACAGCUGAAGCCUUUCUGGAUGGCCUGUCCUGUCACCUGUCACCUUUCAGGGCUGUCACUGAUAUCCAUUGUAUGGAGCUGGCUCUUUGCCUGUUUUUUUUUUUUUUUUCCCAGAAAAAAAAAGGUGAAGAGAUAUACAAAGGGAGAAAUUACUGUGUUGUUGAAUUUUUCAAAAUUAACUGUGCACAAUUAUACCCAAGGAAGUGGGCUGGAAGAAAGACACUUCACAUACAGCAGCUCUUUGCAGAUGUGAGAAAAUGUGGCAUGGUUUGGACCUGCCAGGAAACAGCUGAGCUGGGGGAAUUUGUGUAUUUUAAAAAUAAAGCUCAUGCUUUUCUUGGACAAACUUUCAGGUCACUGUAACACAGAACCGAAGGUCACAAUUUCUAAGAAGAUUAUGAAAUGCCCCAGAUGCUCAGUGUGACAGUCUAGACAAGGCAGCCAAGGGAGAAAUGCUGAAGGAAGUUCCUGGGAUUGGUACAGGAAAGGAGAGCCCGCAGGAUGGAAAACUCCACACAGAGCUUCCCUUGGUGCUCCUGCCUGGACACUCUGCAGAGACUGGUCCCAGCUGAGUCCUGCUCAAGGAUAAAACUCAUGGUCACAGGGGAACUACUCCCAUUGGAAUCCCAUCUGGCUGAUUCCUCCAUUUCAGCUGAGGUGGAAGUGUCACUGGAUCUCACAGAGAUGUGUGAAUGGAAUGAUAAGGAAAGCUCUCCAGCAGGAGCUGAAAAGCACCACCCUUGCUGGGAGUAUAAGCCAACAGAUGCUUUACAAAAGCAAAAGUGAUCUGAUCAUUCCCACAAGAACCAUAGAAUCAUAAAACUGUGGAAUGGUUUGGGUUGGAAGGAACCUUAAAGCCCAUCCAGUCCCACCCC